UCGAGGAUCUUCGGCAAUGCGCGCAAGCGCGACCGAGCGACGCCGCGUGGGCGACGAAGGCCUUCGGGUUGUAAAGCCCUGUCGAGGGGGAGGAAGGGGAAACCUUGACCUAUCCCUGGAGGAAGCUCGGGCUAAGUUCGUGCCAGCAGCCGCGGUAAGACGAACCGAGCGAACGUUGUUCGGAAUCACUGGGCUUAAAGGGCGCGUAGGCGGGCUGCCAAGUCCGGGGUGAAAGCCUCCGGCUCAACCGGAGAACGGCCUCGGAUACUGGCGGCCUAGAGGCGGGUAGGGGCAAGCGGAACUGUGGGUGGAGCGGUGAAAUGCGUUGAGAUCCACAGGAACUCCGGUGGCGAAGGCGGCUUGCUGGACCCGAUCUGACGCUGAGGCGCGAAAGCCAGGGGAGCGAACGGGAUUAGAUACCCCCGUAGUCC
Molecule: ribosomal RNA, 431 nt
Filed under: uncultured bacterium
Lineage: Bacteria
Description: bacterial SSU rRNA
Rfam family: Bacterial small subunit ribosomal RNA
Source: RNAcentral